AUACGUAGGUGACAAGCGUUAUCCGGAUUUACUGGGCGUAAAGGGCGUGUAGGCGGUCUUGCAAGUCAGAAGUGAAAUUCCUGAGCUCAACUCGGGCGCUGCUUCUGAAACUGCAGGACUUGAGUGCUGGAGGGGAUAGCGGAAUUCCUAGUGGAGCGGUAAAAUGCGCAUAUAUUAGGAAGAACACCGGUGGCGAAGGCGACUUUCUGGGCAGUAACGGACGCUGAGGCAGCAAAGAGUGGAGACCAGACAGUAUGUGAUACCCUGGUCGUCCACGCCGUAAACGAGGAAUACUAGGUGUACGGGGUAUCGACUCCCUCUGUGCCGCAGUUAACACAAUAAGUAUUCCGCCUGGGGAGUACGGCCGCAAUGUUGACACUCAAAUGAAUGGACGGGG
RNAcentral lists this ribosomal RNA (397 nucleotides) under uncultured bacterium. Its description in RNAcentral is "partial 16S ribosomal RNA". It matches the Rfam family "Bacterial small subunit ribosomal RNA", at positions 523 to 918 of the family's 1533-position model. The record is from RNAcentral.